Cercocebus atys (sooty mangabey) is the source of this 809-nucleotide long non-coding RNA. RefSeq lists it as uncharacterized. The record is from RefSeq and is a predicted model, not a curated record. The transcript has 2 exons. Lineage: Eukaryota; Metazoa; Chordata; Mammalia; Primates; Cercopithecidae.
GUGAUCACAUAUGGCCGGGGAGAGAGAGAUCACACGUGACUGGAGAGAGUGAUCACAUAUGGCCGGGGAGAGAGAGAUCACACAUGACUGGAGAGAGAGAUCACACAUGGCCAGGGAGUGAGUGAUCACACAUGGCCGGGGAGUAAGUGAUCACACAUGGCCGGAGAGAGAGAGAUCACACAUGGCUGGGGAGUGAGUGAUCACACAUGGCCGGGGAGAGAGUGAUCACACAUGACUGGAGAGAGAGAUCACACAUGGCCGGGGAGUGAGUGAUCACACAUGGCUGGAGAGAGAGAGAUCACACAUGGCCGGGGAGUGAGUGAUCACACAUGGCCGGAGAGAGAGAUCACACAUGGCCAGGGAGAGAGAGAUCACACAUGGCCAGGGAGAGAGUGAUCACACAUGGCCGGGGAGUGAGUGAUCACACGUGGCCGGGGAGUGAGUGAUCACACGUGGCCGGGGAGUGAGUGAUCACAUGUGGCUGGGGAGUGAGUGAUCACACGUGGCUGGGGAGUGAGUGAGCACACAUGGCCGGAGAGAGAGAGCUCACACAUGACUGGAGAGUGAGUGGUCACACAUGGCCGGGGAGAGAGUAGUCACAUGUGGCCAGAGAGAGUGGUCACACAUGGCUGGAGAGAGAGUGAACACACAUGGCCAGAGAGAGAGUGAUCACAUAUGGCCGGAGAGAGAGUGAACACACAUGGCCAGAGAGAGAGAUCACACAUGGCUGGACAGUGAGUGGUCACACGUGGCCGGAGAGAGAGUGGUCACACGUGGCCAGAGAGAGAGAGAUCACACAUGGCCGGGGA